UGGGAAUUUUGGACAAUUGGGCGAAAGCCUGAUCCAGCAAUGCCGCGUGUGUGAAGAAGGCCUUCGGGUUGUAAAGCACUUUUGUCCGGAAAGAAAUCCUUGGCUCUAAUACAGUCGGGGGAUACGGUCCGGAAGAAUAAGCACCGGCUAACUACGUGCCAGCAGCCGCGGUAAUACGUAGGGUGCAAGCGUUAAUCGGAAUUACUGGGCGUAAAGCGUGCGCAGGCGGUUUGCUAAGACCGAUGUGAAAUCCCCGGGCUCAACUGGGAACUGCAUUGGUGACUGGCAGGCUAGAGUAUGGCAGAGGGGGGUAGAAUUCCACGUGUAGCAGUGAAAUGCGUAGAGAUGUGGAGGAAUACCGAUGGCGAAGGCAGCCCCCUGGGCCAAUACUGACGCUCAUGCACGAAAGCGUGGGGAGCAAACAGGAUUAGAUACCCUGGUAGUCCACGCCCUAAACGAUGUCAACUAGUUGUUGGGGAUUCAUUUCCUUAGUAACGUAGCUAACGCGUGAAGUUGACCGCCUGGGGAGUACGGUCGCAAGAUUAAAACUCAAA
This 554-nucleotide ribosomal RNA is filed under the name uncultured bacterium. Its description in RNAcentral is "partial 16S ribosomal RNA". It matches the Rfam family "Bacterial small subunit ribosomal RNA", at positions 356 to 905 of the family's 1533-position model. The record is from RNAcentral.